GCCCGUCUAGCUCAGUCGGUAGAGCGCAAGGCUCUUAACCUUGUGGUCGUGGGUUCGAUCCCCACGGUGGGCG
Non-coding RNA from Nelumbo nucifera (sacred lotus), 73 nucleotides. Lineage: Eukaryota; Viridiplantae; Streptophyta; Magnoliopsida; Proteales; Nelumbonaceae. The record is from Rfam.